Molecule: ribosomal RNA, 378 nt
Filed under: uncultured bacterium
Lineage: Bacteria
Description: bacterial SSU rRNA
Rfam family: Bacterial small subunit ribosomal RNA
Source: RNAcentral
UAUUGGACAAUGGGCGAAAGCCUGAUCCAGCAAUGCCGCGUGAGUGAUGAAGCCCUUAGGGUUGUAAAGCUCUUUUACCCGGGAUGAUAAUGACAGUACCGGGAGAAUAAGCUCCGGCUAACUCCGUGCCAGCAGCCGCGGUAAUACGGAGGGAGCUAGCGUUGUUCGGAAUUACUGGGCGUAAAGCGCGCGUAGGCGGUUUUUUAAGUCAGAGGUGAAAGCCCAGUGCUCAACACUGGAACUGCCUUUGAAACUGGAAAACUUGAAUCUUGGAGAGGUCAGUGGAAUUCCGAGUGUAGAGGUGAAAUUCGUAGAUAUUCGGAAGAACACCAGUGGCGAAGGCGACUGACUGGACAAGUAUUGACGCUGAGGUGCGAA